GUCCACGCCCUAACGAUGUCAACUGGUUGUUGGGAGGGUUUCUUCUCAGUAACGAAGCUAACGCGUGAAGUUGACCGCCUGGGAGUACGGCCGCAAGGUUGAAACUCAAGGAAUUGACGGGACCCGCACAAGCGGUGGAUGAUGUGGUUUAAUUCGAUGCAACGCGAAACCUUACCUACCCUUGACAUGCCAGGAACUUGCCAGAGAUGGCUCGGUGCUCGAAAGAGAACCUGGACACAGGUGCUGCAUGGCCGUCGU
This 258-nucleotide ribosomal RNA is filed under the name uncultured bacterium. RNAcentral's name for it is "partial 16S ribosomal RNA". It matches the Rfam family "Bacterial small subunit ribosomal RNA", at positions 793 to 1055 of the family's 1533-position model. The record is from RNAcentral.